GCUGCAGUUGUGAGGGCUCUUGAAAGGCACACUGAGCACCACCUCCAUCCCAGAAGAGCACGGCAGUCCCGGAGGGGAUUGUACCCGAGCGUGAGGCCGGUCUUCUUCUUUUGAUUGUUUUUAGCCUGUCCCGUCCUGUGUCUAUACCGGGACUAGUUUUUCUUUUUCCACCAUUUUUUUUUUUGCCCUUGUGCUCCCUUCCUGCUCACCCAGCCUAGACCCCGCUAAAUAGGACAAGUCCAGUCUGGUCCUCGCCGCCAAGCGGGUCUUUUUCCAGGCUGUACCCCGUUAGAUACGACCUUCUUGUAAUGGCACGUGCGAAUAACAGGCUGCAACCCUACUCACCUGACAUGAACCCUUGGAUCAGCAUGUGUUUCACAUGGAUCCAAGACCUUGUACAGCUGCUGGGCUGUGUGCAGCACUGCUUGCCGAGAGGAAUAGGAUUCCCAGGGAUAAAUAAACAGUGCUGUCAAGUUGCCGCAAUGGAAGUACUUCCACAGGAAGAGAAUGCCUGUACGUGUCAGUAAAAGAAGAUGAUGCAGAAAAAUCUGAAAGAACUAAAUAAGCCUCAAAUUAGUUUCAAUGAUGUCCAAUUAUGACAAAAGCAGUAACUAACACUUUGGAGA
Lepisosteus oculatus (spotted gar) is the source of this 626-nucleotide non-coding RNA. NCBI's taxonomy places the organism in Eukaryota, Metazoa, Chordata, Actinopteri, Semionotiformes, Lepisosteidae. The record is from RefSeq and is a predicted model, not a curated record.